Molecule: ribosomal RNA, 485 nt
Filed under: uncultured bacterium
Lineage: Bacteria
Description: SSU rRNA
Rfam family: Bacterial small subunit ribosomal RNA
Source: RNAcentral
AGGAUGAACGCUGGCGGCGUGCUUAACACAUGCAAGUCGAACGGUGAAGUGAGGAGCUUGCUCCUUGCGGAUCAGUGGCGAACGGGUGAGUAACACGUGAGUAACCUGCCCUUGACUCUGGGAUAAGCACUGGAAACGGUGUCUAAUACCGGAUACGACCUCCGAAGGCAUCUUCUGGAAGUGGAAAGAAUUUCGGUCAAGGAUGGACUCGCGGCCUAUCAGCUAGUUGGUGAGGUAACGGCCCACCAAGGCGACGACGGGUAGCCGGCCUGAGAGGGUGACCGGCCACACUGGGACUGAGAUACGGCCCAGACUCCUACGGGAGGCAGCAGUGGGGAAUAUUGCGCAAUGGGCGAAAGCCUGACGCAGCGACGCCGCGUGAGGGAUGAAGGCCUUCGGGUUGUAAACCUCUUUCAGCUCCGACGAAGCGAAGUGACGGUAGGAGCAGAAGAAGCACCGGCCAACUACGCGCCAGCAGCCGCGGU